GUAGGGAAUAUUGGGCAAUGGAGGCAACUCUGACCCAGCCAUGCCGCGUGCAGGAUGACGGCCCUCUGGGUUGUAAACUGCUUUUAUACGGGAAGAAAAAAUACUACGUGUAGUAUACUGACGGUACCGUAAGAAUAAGGAUCGGCUAACUCCGUGCCAGCAGCCGCGGUAAUACGGAGGAUCCAAGCGUCGUCCGGAUUUAUUGGGUUUAAAGGGUGCGUAGGCGGAUCUUUAAGUCAGUGGUGAAAGCCUGCAGCUUAACUGUAGAAUUGCCAUUGAAACUGAAGAUCUUGAAUGUGGUUAAAGUAGGCGGAAUGUAUCAUGUAGCGGUGAAAUGCUUAGAUAUGAUACAGAACACCGAUAGCGAAGGCAGCUUGCUGAACCAUUAUUGACGCUGAGGCACGAAAGCGUGGGGAGCGAACAGGAUUAGAAACCCUGGUAGUCC
This 445-nucleotide ribosomal RNA is filed under the name uncultured bacterium. Its description in RNAcentral is "partial 16S ribosomal RNA". It matches the Rfam family "Bacterial small subunit ribosomal RNA", at positions 354 to 796 of the family's 1533-position model. The record is from RNAcentral.